Molecule: ribosomal RNA, 497 nt
Filed under: uncultured Glomeromycotina
Lineage: Eukaryota; Fungi; Glomeromycota
Description: partial small subunit ribosomal RNA
Rfam family: Eukaryotic small subunit ribosomal RNA
Source: RNAcentral
CCAAUAGCGUAUAUUAAAGUUGUUGCAGUUAAAAAGCUCGUAGUUGAAUUUCAGGCCUGGCUGGACGGUCCGCCCUUCGGGUGAGUACUGUCUGUGGUCGGGUCCUACCUUCUGGCGAAGCGUCAUGGCCUUAACCGGCCGUGGCGGGGAACCAGGACUUUUACUGUGAAAAAAUUAGAGUGUUCAAAGCAGGCAAUCGCUUGGAUACAUUAGCAUGGAAUAAUGGAAUAGGACAAUGGUUCUAUUUGUUGGUUUCUAGGACCGUUGUAAUGAUUAAUAGGGAUAGUUGGGGGCAUUAGUAUUCAAUUGUCAGAGGUGAAAUUCUUGGAUUUAUUGAAGACUAACUACUGCGAAAGCAUUUGCCAAGGAUGUUUUCAUUAAUCAAGAACGAAAGUUAGGGGAUCGAAGACGAUCAGAUACUGUCGUAGUCUUAACCAUAAACUAUGCCGACUAGGAAUCGGGCGAUGUUGAAAAAAUGACGCGCUCGGCACCUCAUG